RNAcentral lists this long non-coding RNA (2767 nucleotides) under Callithrix jacchus (white-tufted-ear marmoset). Its description in RNAcentral is "lncRNA (ENSCJAG00000084288.1)". The record is from RNAcentral. Lineage: Eukaryota; Metazoa; Chordata; Mammalia; Primates; Cebidae.
UGACUCUAAAUGUCAUACUUUCACUGGUGAAAAGAGGAUGUCAUUAAUUAAUGACACUUUUCUUUACUAUCUUACAAGCAAGCUGCCAUAUCUCUCAGUUCAAUCAAAGGAAGCUCUCCAGUCUGGCUGCUGAAAAUAUUGACCACAAGCUUUCUCCAAGCAAAUGAAUACUUUCACAUGUUGGUUUCCUUCUCCUUUGCUGGAGUGUGAUUCAAUACCCAGAGGUGAAUCAUCGUUUUGUGAAGCUAAGGGAAUCCAAUGUCUGCUCCUGAAAGUGAACCACAAGCUGUGUCUACCACUGAAGUCUGGCUGAAAGCUGAGGGUGAACUGAAAUCAGCAUCCAGGCAAAGUUACUGUGAGUAAAGUUCAGCCAGCCUGCAUGACAAAAGCGCCUUUGAGCACCAAUUAGAUGCCAAGCCCCUGCUGGAGUCCAGGGAUGUGAGAGUGAAUGAGCCCCAGACACUGCUCCAGAAGAUCUUAUAACCUAGUUGAAGAGAUAGUUAUGUAAAUAAAUAUCAACAAAUUCCAGUGCUGUGGCUUAAUUCUAUGCAAGGUGUUGUGGGAGCACAGGAGAAGGAUGUGCCACUCAUACUGUACUGGACAAUGAAUACAGUGCUGGAGCUGAGCCUGGGAAAAUGCGGGGAGAUUUCUCACCUCCUGAAAGGGAGCCUGAGGGGAAUGGAGUAGCUUGAGAAAAGUCAUGACUCGACAAUGUCAGUGUAUCACUGUUAAACCGAGGAGCUGGGAUGUUGUAGGAGACGAAACAGGUGAGGCUCUCAGGGACAAGGCAGUGAGCAGAUGUGUGCCGGAUGGGAAGCUUGAUUUUUAGUCGACAAAUGAGGAAGCGCAGAAAAAAACCAUCCAAAGGCAAAGCUGGCUUCUUGCCGAAACUGUGCACGGCUGUCUCAGGCCUGAUAUCUGCACCCCAUACCCUUCAGAGGCAGAAGGGUUUCCUAAGCAAAAGUCCCAAAACUAAUCCAAGCUGCACUAGUUUGGGUCACAUCGCCAUUCUUAAAUUAAAUAUCAUGACCAAGACACAUGUCUCACCCGAAAGGCAGAGAUAAAACAUCAUCAGUGAGACAUGCCAGCUAACAUAUACCGACUUGAGAUUGGCUUAAAAGACACUGAUAGUUAAUGAAGAAAUGAAGAACAUCUCCGAAAUGAAUCCAGCUGCGUCAAUAUGGACCACCCUAGAAACUAAACCAAUUUGUGUGGUUUAUUCUUGUCCUCAAUCCAAUUUUUAACCCUUGAAGAAACUACUCAUCACAAAAGAAUCUCAGUUGCCAUUUUGGGGACUAAUUUUGUAUGUCAAACCGCUAACUUUCCCCUUUAUUCUAUGCUAUUCUUAGCCCAAGGUUGCUUGACGUUCAAUAAAUAUUAAAUGUAGCAAUAAUAAUGAUGAUGAUGACCAUGUAAAUAAAUAAAAAGAAAUAAUCCUUUAUAAGCCUUUUCAGAUUGUCUGCAUUUAUGAUUUCAGAAUUAGAGAAAAGUCAUUUCAUGGGGUCAAGUGGAAUGUCUUUUGCCCUCUUUAGAUGUUGUUAACUCAUGUUCAAUUUUCCAAAGUCAAAUGUACAAAGUUCUAAUGGAGUAAGAUAAUUCCCCAGUAAGCACACUGUCCAUCUGUAAACCAUAUUUAUGGUAUUUUUAAAGGUGAAAACAGCAUAUUUGUCAUGUGUAGCUUCAAAUGGAAUUGAAUAUUCUUUCUUGUACAAACCUCUAUUAAAAGAAGUCUUAAACUCAUAGGCAUUAUGAGUAUUCCUUUGGAUUGUGAGUAUUUCCACAAUAGCCACAGCUUAUACAUGUAUGUUACCUGCCUGAGCAUAAAGUCUGACACGUAGUGGGUGCACAUUAAACAUUUGUUAAAUAAGAAAUGUUUUAUUUUUGUUUUUAUUUUGGCUUCCCAAAUGUGAAAGCUGAAUUUGUGCAUGUUCUCCCAGCUGGAGAAAGCAGGUUAAUAAGCACUAUUAUAGUGAGUACAAUUUAAAGCAGUGAUUACAAAUUAUUUCUGUUUUUCAUGCCAAGCCUUGUGUUUAAGAGUAGGAUGGGCAUGCUGCGAUUGAUUAGGAAUGCCUGCCAUGAAGAGAGCAUAGUGGAACAGCAGCACUGAGCCAGACAGCUGCCAUCCAGAUAUAAAGGUAUCUCCCCCACAACAGAGGGAUGGGCUUGGCAGAGAAGACAUAGGAGAGCAAAUGUCCCAUUGGUGUAUUUCCCAGCACCAGAAAAGCUUAGCAACGGACUCCAUUAAAAAGUAAGUAUGCAAAUUGCAUUUGUUGAGAAUUUGCUUAUAAUUUCUUUUCUAUGAAUGGACUAAAUCUUCAGCAAAUAUUCAAGACAUACAAACACAUGGCCCAGAGUUAUUUGAGGAUUUUCAGAAUUUGAGAAAAAAUUCCAACCAGGCAAUAAUUGAAGUUCCACUAUUAUGAAUGCAUUGAUUUUUGUAAAUUCAAGUACAGGCCUCUUUCAUUUGAAAUAAAAUAAACCAGAUUGCUGUCCACCCUUGGCAUUUUACAGUUGACAGAACAAGCAUUGAACUCCUGCUAGGCCCAAAAAGACAAACUAUAAAUAGUAGCCAAAAAUCACCCCAAACCCACUUCAUGACUAACUGGAGUAUCUCGUCUUCUGGGGCUAUUGUUUGACUUGGUGACUCUGCAGAUAUCUUCCAUUUGCCCAUCCAUACCCUCUGCUCUUAAAUAGGAAGCUGGCCUCUUGGGUAACACAACUGUCUCCGGUACUCCUCGGCCACCAACUGAGGUCAGCCAAAAGAAGC